RNAcentral lists this ribosomal RNA (253 nucleotides) under uncultured bacterium. Its description in RNAcentral is "partial 16S ribosomal RNA". It matches the Rfam family "Bacterial small subunit ribosomal RNA", at positions 524 to 776 of the family's 1533-position model. The record is from RNAcentral.
UACGGAGGGUGCAAGCGUUAAUCGGAAUUACUGGGCGUAAAGCGCACGCAGGCGGCAGGGUAAGUUAGAUGUGAAAGCCCCGGGCUCAACCUGGGAAUUGCAUUUAAAACUGCCGUGCUAGAGUCUUGUAGAGGGGGGUAGAAUUCCAGGUGUAGCGGUGAAAUGCGUAGAGAUCUGGAGGAAUACCGGUGGCGAAGGCGACCCCCUGGACAAAGACUGACGCUCAUGUGCGAAGGCGUGGGGAGCAAACAGG